UACGAAGGGGGCUAGCGUUGCUCGGAAUUACUGGGCGUAAAGGGCGCGUAGGCGGCUCUGUUAGUCAGGCGUGAAAGUCCUGGGCUCAACCGUGGAAGUGCACUCGAAACUGCAUAGCUAGAGUCCUGGAGAGGAAGGUGGAAUGCUUGGUGUAGAGGUGAAAUUCGUAGAUAUCAAGCGGAACACCGGUGGCGAAGGCGGCCUUCUGGACAGUGACUGACGCUGAGACGCGAAAGCGUGGGGAGCAAACAGG
RNAcentral lists this ribosomal RNA (253 nucleotides) under uncultured bacterium. RNAcentral describes it as "partial 16S ribosomal RNA". It matches the Rfam family "Bacterial small subunit ribosomal RNA", at positions 524 to 776 of the family's 1533-position model. The record is from RNAcentral.